GUGCUCGCUUUGGCAGCACAUAUACUAAAAAUUGGAAUGAUACGGAGAUUAGCAUGGCCCCUGCACAAGGAUGACACGCAAAUUCGUGAAGCGUCCCAUAUUUUU
This 105-nucleotide small nuclear RNA is filed under the name Monodon monoceros (narwhal). The record is from RNAcentral. Lineage: Eukaryota; Metazoa; Chordata; Mammalia; Artiodactyla; Monodontidae. RNAcentral also lists the same sequence under 1 other name.